UCCUGGGUGUCAUUUGUUAGACAAAUUUCAUGGUGUGAGCCAUCAUUGUGUAACAGCAUGUGCUAUUAAGAGCUAAGGUUUAGGAAGAAUCUAGUUGUGACUUGGAACUUCUCUUUUAAUUAUACACACAAUUAUUCUAGAGAACAAAUUAUAAAGCAUCUUGCAUUACUGUAUUAUGAGGGAAAAAAAAGCCUAUUUAGGCAAUAGGCUAAGUCCCAUCCACAAAACCAGUAAGCAGGAGGGUAACAGCCUUUCUGCACUUGGCCUUUGUCAUACGGCAUAGCAGGAGACACUGCAGUAUGUGCUGGGUGGAAAUCUCCUCUCAGUACAUCACUGGGCUCCUUGUUUAGAUAUACGUCCUCAAUAGCUUCUUAUUGUGAUGUCUCUGAAACACUGAACUGUUUUCAGUGGUGAAAUCAGGGUUCUUAGCCUACAAAUAUGAAGCCCAUGUAGGUCACUCUCCACUCCGAAUUCUUUUACAUCAUCACUUUCCUCUUCAAUAUCACCAUUUUCCUCAAAUGCUUUAACUUUUUGGGGUCAGAUUCAUGGAUUAGCAUAUUGUUUUAAAUGCUUGAUCUGUAGCAAUUUGCACCAUGGAAUUUGGUACCACCGUCCCAAU
This 619-nucleotide long non-coding RNA is filed under the name Homo sapiens (human). RNAcentral describes it as "non-protein coding lnc-KLHL29-7:1". The record is from RNAcentral. Lineage: Eukaryota; Metazoa; Chordata; Mammalia; Primates; Hominidae.